Molecule: long non-coding RNA, 1348 nt
Organism: Cygnus atratus (black swan)
Lineage: Eukaryota; Metazoa; Chordata; Aves; Anseriformes; Anatidae
Exons: 5
Source: RefSeq, a predicted model, not a curated record
GUGGACAGCUGCAAUAGCUGUCUCAGAAAACAAAACUAAAGAUAGCCCUUUUCUCCCUGGACAGGUGAUACCCAGGAUCUGCUCAGCUGAGAAGAACUUUGGAAAGGCAGUCCUGUGGUUCCCUAUGUCUACAAAGAAGACUGAGACAUCUCCAAAGGACAGCUUAUCCCUUUUUAAGACCAGUGACUAAGACUGCUGGGAAGAAUUACCCACUGGAGAGCCAGAGAUAUCUUCUGUGGUGUGUCUGGAGAGAGUGCACUGAAUACCGAACACCAGGAUCAUUGGUGAAGAGGUAGACUGUACUGAGGAAAGUGUGUUAGUAGGUGACAGAAUGUAUGUCACACAGUAUCUAAGAAAGCCUCUGUCUAGAAGACUACAACCUAAUAAAGAGUGUCUGGAAGCAAUACAUCCUUCCUUUGUGGGGCUGAUGUCCAAGUCCUGAACUGUCCGUGGACUCUGUGUCAGUGAUUGUAUACUGUCAUUUGGGAUGAAGGGAGCAUGCUGGGAGCUAGAGCAAUUUAAGAAGAUCUAGUAGCCCUUCAGCUGAUAAUCAGCCCCUAAAACUGUCAACAAAUGGAGUCAAAGAGGAAUUUUAAUUAAACAUCAUUAAAAACUCAAAGCUAAAAAAAAAAAAAAGAUUUAUAACAUCGAAAAUUCAUAGUGGCACCAUUUUAAAUUGAUAUGAAUGAUCAGAUACAUCCUUCUCAACAGUUGCAAGUAGAUACUAGAAAGCCAUUCUCUUCCAUAUGUGUGAACAUUAGGAAAAGAUUGAUUGCAACAGGGUCAAAGUCAGGAACAACUGGAACAGUAUCAGUGUCCUAGGCCUCGGUGAGGUGCUUUUCCAUGGCAGCACUGCUUUCUAAGAUCUAUGUCCCACAUGACGUAAUCGUUAGCCUCCACACCCUUCUAAAAAGAAUGUAAGAUUGUAGGUCUGCAUAAGAAUAAUUCACAUUUUUCAAGUUGUAUGGCUAGCAAGCAAAAGCCAGAUAUAACAAUUUGUUUGCAGUGUGGUCUUUGAGUUUAUGAACUAUAUAUGGGGAGAUUUGAAAGAAUAAUUUCUAUAGCUGUAUCAGAUAGCAAAGGCCACUUACAACGGCAAAUUAGUAUUUAUUCACUUAGAAUUAAUCUAUUGCCAAGUUCAUUAUAUGCAUUUUAUUUAAUGUUGGCUGCAUAUAUGUAUGUUAAUUCUGACUUUUGCACAAGUAUAUUUUCUCAUGAAUUAGAAGAUUUUUUUUUUUUUUAAGAAAUUACCCAGAUUCCUGUUCCACUCACAGAAUUUUUGGUUGCAUGUUAGAAAGACAUACAGAUGUUUCAAUGUAAUAAAAAGAGGGAGAGAUAACUUUUAGUC